GUUGUUGCGGUUAAAAAGCUCGUAGUUGGAUUUUGGGCGCAGGCGGCCGGUCCGUCGCAAGGCGUGUACUGGCCGUCCUGGCCUCACCUCCGGUUCUCCGCCGGUGCCCUUGACUGAGUGUCGGCGGCGGCCGGAACGUUUACUUUGAAAAAAUUAGAGUGUUCAAAGCAGGCGAUUCGCCUGAAUAAUGGUGCAUGGAAUAAUGGAAUAGGACCUCGGUUCUAUUUUGUUGGUUUUCGGAGCGCGAGGUAAUGAUUAAGAGGGACAGACGGGGGCAUUCGUACUGUGCCGUUAGAGGUGAAAUUCUUGGAUCGGCGCAAGACGAACGACUGCGAAAGCAUUUGCCAAGAAUGUUUUCUUUAAUCAAGAGCGAAAGUCAGAGGUUCGAAGACGAUCAGAUACCGUCCUAGUUCUGACUAUAAACGAUGCCAACUAGCGAUCGGGGGGCGUUAGUUUUACGACCUCUCCGGCAGCUUGCGGGAAACCAAAGUCUUUGGGUUCCGGGGGAAGUAUGGUUGCAAAGCUGAAACUUAAAGGAAUUGACGGAAGGGCACCACCAGGAGUGGAGCCUGCGGCUUAAUUUGACUCAACACGGGAAAUCUCACCCGGCCCGGACACAGUGAGGAUUGACAGAUUGAGAGCUCUUUCUUGAUUCUGUGGGUGGUGGUGCAUGGCCGUUCUUAGUUGGUGGAGCGAUUUGUCUGGUUAAUUCCGAUAACGAACGAGACUCUGGCUUGCUAACUAGUUACGCGACCCAAUCGGUCGGCGUCUAACUUCUUAGAGGGACUAGUGGCGUUUAGCCACACGAGAUUGAGCAAUAACAGGUCUGUGAUGCCCUUAGAUGUUCGGGGCCGCACGCGCGCUACACUGACCGGAUCAGCAUGUGCUCGCCUUGGCCGACAGGUCUGGGUAACCCGCUGAACCCCGGUCGUGCUAGGGAUAGGGAAUUGCAAUUAUUUCCCUUGAACGAGGAAUUCCCAG
Molecule: ribosomal RNA, 981 nt
Filed under: Ascidiella aspersa
Lineage: Eukaryota; Metazoa; Chordata; Ascidiacea; Phlebobranchia; Ascidiidae
Description: SSU rRNA
Rfam family: Eukaryotic small subunit ribosomal RNA
Source: RNAcentral